This 1447-nucleotide long non-coding RNA is filed under the name Coffea arabica (coffee). RNAcentral describes it as "long non-coding RNA (CARA_LNC002563)". Lineage: Eukaryota; Viridiplantae; Streptophyta; Magnoliopsida; Gentianales; Rubiaceae. The record is from RNAcentral.
CCUAGUGUGCUUUCUCAGACUUUCAAUGACCGGAGCACCAAUUGUAAGAUUUGGGACAAAAUGUCUGCAAAAGCAAUCAGAUGCUCUAUCAAAUGGCCCUCCAACUAAAAUCAGUUUAAAAAAAUGGGAAAAUCAUUCAAAACAGCCCUCAUAUUUUGUAAAAUAACUUUUUUUGUCCCUUACUUUUAAAAGUGUAAUUUUACAUUCCUUACAAAUUUACAUUGGUCAAUUUUGUUUCCUAUCUAGAUUUUCGACUAGUUUUUGGCCGGAAUCUAUCACGUGUCUUGCACAUGAUCAUUUUUUAGGGGUAAAAUUGUCAAACAUAUUUUACAUAAUCUGAUCUAUAGUCUCUCAUAUUUCACAAAAUGAAAUUUUUCGUCCCUCACAUUUCACAAAAUAAAUUUUUUCAUCCCUCAAAUUUUGCAAAAUAAAAAUUUUCAUCCCUAAUUAAUCAUGUGUGUGAUAGUAUUUUCUUAUUUUUAAAAACUUUUAUAUAUAUAUAUAUAUGUUUAUUUGAUUUCACCUGAAAAGUAUAGAUAGCAUGUAAUAUAUGUGUAUUUGAUUUCAUCUACAACUACAAUAAGAUGUAGAUGAAAUCAAAUACACAUAUUCCAUGCUAUUCAUAUUGUUCAGGUGAAUCAAAUAGAUAUAUAUAUAUAAUAUAUGAGUUUAAAAAAAAAAAGAAAUUAUUCGCACACAUGAUUAAUGAGAGAUGAAAAAAUUCAUUUUAUUAAAUGUAAAGGACGGAAAAAUUCAUUUUUUGAAAUGUAAGAGACGCAAAAAUUUAUUUUGUAAAAUAUGAGAGGCGAAAAAAAUCAAAUUAUGUGAAAUUUGAUUUAACAAAUUUGCCUCUAAAAAAUGAUCACGUGCAAGGCAUGUGCUGGAUUCCAACAAAAAACUAGUCGAAAAUCUAGGUAGGGACCAAAUUUGACCAAUGUGAAUUUAUAAGAAACGUAAAAUUACAUUUUUAAAAGUGAGAUAAAAAAAAGUUAUUUUGCAAAAUAUGAGGGACGUUUUGAUAAAUUUUCUCUAAAAAAAUUAUUGAAGUACUAAGAGAACUAUGAAGUUUUUUUUUUUUCUAUGGUUUGAAGUGAUGGCUUCAUCAUCUGGAAAUCCAACCUACCCGUCCUGCAAAGCCACAGAUCAGAAUUUCAAGUUCAAACUUACUUUUAUCCAAUUUUAAUGCUAAUGUUCAAGAGAACAUAGCCAAAAGGGGGAAAAAAGGCUUGAAACAAUAGAAGCCUAUAUUGACGUUAUGAUGCAUGUUAGUACCAUGAUGUCCAUAUGAAGCCAAUCAGCACCACAGUGGAGCAUGCGCUCUGCCUCAGAUGCCAAAUUGGCAAAGUCUGAUGAUAGCAUCGAUGGUGCGAUUUUGGGCUUCACCAUUGCUGAACCUCACACUAUUUGCAAUUAUCCCGUUUCUCAACUUUGAUUAACUCUUUAUGCU